RNAcentral lists this ribosomal RNA (468 nucleotides) under uncultured bacterium. RNAcentral describes it as "partial 16S ribosomal RNA". It matches the Rfam family "Bacterial small subunit ribosomal RNA", at positions 28 to 507 of the family's 1533-position model. The record is from RNAcentral.
GACGAACGCUGGCGGCGUGCUUAACACAUGCAAGUCGAACGGAAAGGCCCUGCUUUUGUGGGGUGCUCGAGUGGCGAACGGGUGAGUAACACGUGAGUAACCUGCCCUUGACUUUGGGAUAACUUCAGGUAACUGGGGCUAAUACCGGAUCGCAUCUCCUGCUGCAUUGUGGGGGUUGGAAAGUUUCGGCUGUUGGGGAUGGACUCGCGGCUUAUCAGCUUGUUGGUUGGGGAGUGGUUUACCAAGGCUUGGACCGGUAGCCGGCAUGAGAGGGUGGACGGGCUCAUGGGUACUGAGAGACAGAGCAGACGGGUACGGGAGACAGUGGUGGGGAAUCUUGCACAAUGGGAGGAAGCGUGAGGAAGCGACGCCGGGUGCGGGAUGACGGCCUGUGGGUAGUAAAACGCUUUAGCUUGUGACGAAGCGUGAGUGACGGUACUGGGUAAAGAAGCACCGGCUAACUACGUG